This is a small nuclear RNA of Rhineura floridana, 104 nucleotides long. NCBI's taxonomy places the organism in Eukaryota, Metazoa, Chordata, Lepidosauria, Squamata, Rhineuridae. The record is from RefSeq and is a predicted model, not a curated record.
AAGCUCUGGUCAGCACAUAUAUUAAAACUGGAAUGAUACAUAGAUGAUUAACAUAGCCUCUGUGCAAGGCUGGUAUAUAAAUUUGUGAAGCGUUCCGUAUUUUU